AAUAAAUGGGAUGUACCUACCUUAUGUUUUUUGUUUCAAUUUUGUACAAGGAGAAAAGGUGAAAUGAAAUAAGAUUGAAUGGUUUUGGCUAUAUAUCUAUGUUGAUUUCUGCAAUUGAGUUAUGUGUUUCUUUAUUGUUUUCUUUCAUCCAGGGAAAGAAAAUUGUAGGUGUUCAUUUAUAAUAGGGGAAUGCUUGCAACCUUUUCUCUAACCUUCUCUUUUGGACCUUCUGCAUCACACAAGCUAAUUUUUCUUUUCCAAAUUAACCCUUAUUAAAUUUUUUUUUUUUAACAACAAGCUAAUAUUUUAACAACUUUCUUUCCACCUUAUUAAAAAAUUAAACAAGAAAAAAAUAGGUUUUUAUAUAUAAAAAACUAUUUGAUUUUUGUUUUUCCAAAGAAUACAUAUGUUGCUAAUAAAACCUUCAGUCCUUGCAUAACUUUCUUUCCACCGUAUUAAAAAAUUAAAUAAGAAAAAGCGUAAUAAUAAAUUUUUGUUCUAGGAUAGCAUGAACUUCUUUUGUGCUUAAAAAAAAAGGUUAUCACUCAAGAAAAAAAAACACAUUUUUUUUCAAAAAAGAAAACUGACAUUUUUUAUUUAUUUAUUUAUUUUUAAUAAGGUGGUAAGAAA
RNAcentral lists this long non-coding RNA (630 nucleotides) under Prunus persica (peach). RNAcentral describes it as "long non-coding RNA (PPER_LNC004789)". Lineage: Eukaryota; Viridiplantae; Streptophyta; Magnoliopsida; Rosales; Rosaceae. The record is from RNAcentral.